RNAcentral lists this ribosomal RNA (510 nucleotides) under uncultured bacterium. RNAcentral's name for it is "bacterial SSU rRNA". It matches the Rfam family "Bacterial small subunit ribosomal RNA", at positions 18 to 518 of the family's 1533-position model. The record is from RNAcentral.
UAUGGCUCAGGAUGAACGCUAGCUACAGGCUUAACACAUGCAAGUCGAGGGGCAGCAUUGGAGUAGCAAUACUUCAGAUGGCGACCGGCGCACGGGUGAGUAACACGUAUCCAACCUGCCGCUUACUCGGGGAUAGCCUUUCGAAAGAAAGAUUAAUACCCGAUGGUAUAAAGAGUUCGCAUGUUCUCUUUAUUAAAGAAUUUCGGUAAGCGAUGGGGAUGCGUUCCAUUAGAUAGUUGGCGGGGUAACGGCCCACCAAGUCUACGAUGGAUAGGGGUUCUGAGAGGAAGGUCCCCCACAUUGGAACUGAGACACGGUCCAAACUCCUACGGGAGGCAGCAGUGAGGAAUAUUGGUCAAUGGACGAGAGUCUGAACCAGCCAAAAGUAGCGUGAAGGAUGACUGCCCUAUGGGUUGUAAACUUCUUUUAUAAGGGAAUAAAGUGAGGGACGUGUCCCUUUUUGUAUGUACCUUAUGAAUAAGGAUCGGCUAACUCCGUGCCAGCCGCGGC